This 250-nucleotide ribosomal RNA is filed under the name Bacillus licheniformis. Its description in RNAcentral is "partial 23S ribosomal RNA". It matches the Rfam family "Bacterial large subunit ribosomal RNA", at positions 220 to 464 of the family's 2925-position model. The record is from RNAcentral. Lineage: Bacteria; Bacillati; Bacillota; Bacilli; Caryophanales; Bacillaceae.
AGAAAGCAAAUGCGAUUCCCUGAGUAGCGGCGAGCGAAACGGGAUUAGCCCAAACCAAGAGGCUUGCCUCUUGGGGUUGUAGGACACUCUGUACGGAGUUGCAAAAGAACGAGGUAGAUGAAGAGGUCUGGAAAGGCCCGCCAUAGGAGGUAACAGCCCUGUAGUCAAAACUUCGUUCUCUCCUGAGUGGAUCCUGAGUACGGCGGAACACGUGAAAUUCCGUCGGAAUCCGGGAGGACCAUCUCCCAAG